GGAUCCGUGGCGCGUCUGACUUCAGAUCAGAAGAUUGCGUGUUCGGUUCACGUUGGGUUCA
This is a non-coding RNA of Glycine max (soybean), 61 nucleotides long. NCBI's taxonomy places the organism in Eukaryota, Viridiplantae, Streptophyta, Magnoliopsida, Fabales, Fabaceae. The record is from Rfam.